This 117-nucleotide small nuclear RNA is filed under the name Huiozyma naganishii CBS 8797. RNAcentral describes it as "Kazachstania naganishii CBS 8797 U2 spliceosomal RNA". It matches the Rfam family "U2 spliceosomal RNA". Rfam says of the family: U2 is a small nuclear RNA (snRNA) component of the spliceosome (involved in pre-mRNA splicing). Complementary binding between U2 snRNA (in an area lying towards the 5' end but 3' to hairpin I) and the branchpoint sequence (BPS) of the intron results the bulging out of an unpaired adenosine, on the BPS, which initiates a nucleophilic attack at the intronic 5' splice site, thus starting the first of two transesterification reactions that mediate splicing. The record is from Rfam by way of RNAcentral. Lineage: Eukaryota; Fungi; Ascomycota; Saccharomycetes; Saccharomycetales; Saccharomycetaceae.
AUCUCUUUGCCUUUUGGCUUAGAUCAAGUGUAGUAUCUGUUCUUUUCAGUGUAACAACUGAAAUGACCCUCAUUGAGGCUCAUUACCUUUACAAUUAUAUUGUUACAAACACCAAUU